This is a long non-coding RNA of Ornithodoros turicata, 466 nucleotides long. RefSeq lists it as uncharacterized. The transcript is spliced from 3 exons. The record is from RefSeq and is a predicted model, not a curated record. NCBI's taxonomy places the organism in Eukaryota, Metazoa, Arthropoda, Arachnida, Ixodida, Argasidae.
CAGGAUUCAAACAGAUCUCCCCCUUGUUCCGUGAAAGCUCUCGCUUGCGAAUGAAGUCAAGCGGCUCUCGUUGGCAGACGACAGGCUUCUUGCAUGACUUCACCGCCGCGGCCUCGUGAUUGGCGGGUUGUGCAGCGUUACCGUUGUUGCCAUGGCAACAGCUCUGAACGAGUGGCUGCGCGGUUGCCAAGGGUACGGCCGAGCCGGGACGUCCCGCUAAGGAGAUAUGGAAGACCUGAUGCCUAGCCCAUCUUCUCCCGAAAGCUUGGCUAUCCAAGAGAAGUUCUCGCUCCCCCCCACUGCGAGAAAGCAUAGUAAAAUGUCGAUGACAGGAUGCAAACUACAUGCCGAUGUCUUACAUGGUGGAUACCAAUGCCGUUCUCCCUUUGCUUCUUUUCGAAGAUAGCGUCAACCACAAGCCAGUCCACAAUCCGCAGGCCGCUGCAGAGGCGUGACGAAUUGCGUG